This 254-nucleotide ribosomal RNA is filed under the name uncultured bacterium. RNAcentral describes it as "partial 16S ribosomal RNA". It matches the Rfam family "Bacterial small subunit ribosomal RNA", at positions 524 to 776 of the family's 1533-position model. The record is from RNAcentral.
UACGAAGGGUGCAAGCGUUACUCGGAAUUACUGGGCGUAAAGCGUGCGUAGGUGGUUUGUUAAGUCUGUUGUGAAAGCCCCGGGCUCAACCUGGGAAUGGCAAUGGAUACUGGCAGGCUAGAGUGCGGUAGAGGGUAGUGGAAUUCCCGGUGUAGCGGUGAAAUGCGUAGAGAUCGGGAGGAACACCAGUGGCGAAGGCGGCCCGCUGGGCAGUGGCUGACGCUGAGGCGCGACAGCGUGGGGGAGCAAACAGG